Molecule: ribosomal RNA, 406 nt
Filed under: uncultured bacterium
Lineage: Bacteria
Description: partial 16S ribosomal RNA
Rfam family: Bacterial small subunit ribosomal RNA
Source: RNAcentral
AUUGAACGCUGGCGGCAGGCUUAACACAUGCAAGUCGAACGUGUGGCGGACGGGUGAGUAAUUUCUUGGUAACUGCCUGAUGGAGGGGGAUAACUACUGGAAACGGUAUCUAAUACCGCAUACCAUCAGAUGUGCCCAGUUGUGAUUAGCUUGUUGGUGGGGUAACGGAUAACCAAGGCGACGAUCCCUAGCUGGACUGAGAGGAUGACCGGCCACGCUGGGGCUGAGACACGGGCCAGACGCCUACGGGAGGCAGCAGUAGGGAAUAUUGCACAAUUGGCGUAAGUCUGAUGCAGCCAUGCCGCGUAUAUGAAGAAGGCCUUCGGGUUGUAAAGUACAUACAGCGGGGAGGCGUUACGCGGAGAAGAAGCACCGGCUAACUCCGUGCCGGCAGCCGCGGUAAUUC